CCCCUCUCUUAAUGCAGCCUGGCAGGCGCUUCGGCUGAGGACGCAGGUUGGGAGGAAACGCCAGUCACUUUCUGUGGCAGGAGGCCGAUGAGAUGUUUGCAGGUGACGGAUGUGCUUUGGCAGGCUGCCCCCGGGAAAGGACCAAGCUGCUGGCCACGGAUUCAGUCACUCCGAUUUAGGAAAAGGUGUUUUGAGGUUUUCCGCUCCUUUCUACAUCACUCCUGAAGCCUCAAGACCUUCGCUACUUCUCUUUUCCAAACAGGUUGAUUUUCAAAAUAUUGCCCGUGGCUGUUGUGAUUUUCACUCAGAGUUGAGUUUCAAGAAUUUGCCAGGUAGCUACCUGCUGCGCAGGAGAGGACCGACAGGAUGACCCGAGUGUGUAGAUUUAAGAUAGAAAGGACCCGGUGUGCUCAAAGGUGUGGGAGGCCUGCUUUACAUUGACCCAGGCACUGAUGCUACUAUCAGACUUCGUGUCCCUACAGACCAAAAGGAGAGGAGAGCCAGAGGAGCCUCAGAACUGCCCAGCAAGGUUCCCUGCAAGGGACCAACUCUCCCAGCCAGAAGAGCCUCAGAGCUGCCCAGCAAGGUUCCCUGCAAGGGACCAACUCUCCCAGCCAGAAGAGCCUCAGAGCUGCCCAGCAAGGUUCCCUGCAAGGGACCAACUCUCCCAGCCAGAAGCGUGGGGCAGAUGCCUGGAAGGCAAGACCGGAAGAAGCCACAUACCAGUACAACUCCCCAGAAAAUAGAAGUCCCUUCCACUGUGGCCUGGUGAGAGAGCGCAGCCCCGGGCACCACCGAACUGGCUCUACUUGCAAAUCUCUACAAAGCCCCACUGUCUCCCUCCGAGUCUUGAAGGCUUUGUAGCCACCAGAGAGUACAGACUUCUCGGAGCGUGACGUAUCUUCCCUCCAUAUCAGCUGCUCUUCUGAUACCUUGGCCAGCUCCGGGCCCGCCCGCCCCUCCCUUGUACUAACCCACUGUCACACGGUAGCAGUCUCAUCUCUCCCGGCCCGUGUCGACUGCGUCACGUCGCAGUCUUCCAGACGCAAGGAUACAGCUGCCCUUCUGGACCACGACCCCGGGUCCCUGCCUCAUUCUGGUUCGCUGAGUGGAUAAAUAAACUUCUCAACCAAAGGCUCCCUCAGCCUCGGCUGCUCAGGACACUGGACCUUCUUGCACGCUGUCUCCUCUGUCUCCGGGGCUGCUUUCACCCCCCACCUACCCAGCCAUCUGGAUCACAUCUGUCCACCUUCCAAAGCUUUGCCGGCAUCCAAGCGGCUCCUGAGUUUGCACGACCCCACCUGCGCACACCUGCAUGUUCGGUGCACACUUCCGUUGCCGCAGCAGCAGCGGCGGCAGCCUGUGCCUCUGUCUCCCCGGGUAGAUACUGAACUCUCUAUAGCUCGGGAUAUUUUCAUCUCUGUGCUCCUGUACCUCAGGCAGUACGCAACAGCAGUAAGCGGGAAGUCAAGUGAAGGGACUCACGCAUGAAUAAAUGCACAAAUGAGCGCACGCGUGAGCCAGCAAACGCAUGCAUGGACGGUUAUGUGAGCAAACGUCCCUGUGGAGAUUUCCUUCCCCUCUCUUCUAGCCGUUGGGGCGUGGCGGCCUCGCGUUGGUUAUCCUUGCUCUCAGGCCGCGUUGCGGUGUCCCGAGAACGUGUUUCAACGAGACUUCAUUUUUGGAAAAUUAAUGAGCAGCUCACUUGGCAGGGUGGCGAGUUUGAAAUGCCCCGAGUGAACAACAACAACAACAACAAAAAAUCCUUGAGUGUAAGGGAAAGGAAAGAACAGGGGAAGGCAGGUGAUCUGGGGUUGCUGGCUGGCAGUGGCUAGUCUCUCGAGCAUAACUGUGGAUAAAAAUAAUACCAAGCCUGGGAGACCAGAGGCCCUGUCACAAGUGACCUUGGAAUACAUUUUUAUUCCACCCCUCUCCUGAGAGGAGCCAAUGGGGAGAGGCUUUGGAAUUGGUAAGGAGCACCAAGAAAGAGACGUAUUGUCAUCCUGCCUGGGUGAGAGGAUAUUGCCUUGAGAAUUCAGUGCUAGCCCCACCUGCUCUCCCCAAAAGAGAGAAUAUUCUAAUAUGACCCACAUCCCUUUCGCUUACUAAGGCCUACAUUAAUUAGGAAACAUUUUUCGAAAUGUAAAACUGAGUCUCUGAGUAAGCACAAUCCUUUGCAGAAAGCAGGAAGCACACGAGUCAAGCAGCCUACCCUCAGAUGUGAAGCCAUCUGUGGUUUCAGAACAAGCGGCUUUGCUAGCUGGAGGUGGCACGCUGUUGUGAAAUGCUAAAUUAAAUACCACGACACGCUAUUAUGGCUUCAAAAAGUAGUUACAGGCUUCAAUAAGCACACUUUUAUCACAAGAACACACAACCUAAAGCCAAAAUAGUUCAGUUUAGCAUGCCAAAAAUCUGCUCACCCCAUACAUUGUUAGAAAGAGCAGUAGGAAAAGGCAUCAGAAUUUGCUACCAUUUCCCUCGAUGGUAGCCAACAUCUCCUAUCUUCUUUGGCAAGGAGGCCAUUUCCCUAUGCUGUAUUUUGCACACAGAAAUCUGCAUACAGCGAUUUGCAUACCAAAGCCACAUUUGUUUAAAAAAAAAAAACUGUUUGCAGGAAAGCCAGAGGAAGACAGGGUUGCCACCGUCGGCACCUCUGUGCUGCACUGCCAGGUUGCUCGCUUUUCAUUCUCCUCCAUGCUGAAUCCCUACACAGCAUUAUGUGCUUGAUGAGACAUUAAAAAUUAAAGCGAAUGUAUCCUCUGUAUUUCCACGGACCAUGCUAACCUCGAGUCUAUCCUGCCAACAUCCUGUCCAUCGUUUCCUGAAAGGCUUGUGAUGACAGCUCGAAGUGCCACAAUCAAUUGAGAUUUUAUUACACGUUAUAGUUCAAAUAAAACCUGUCUCCAGGACAGGUGCUGUGGUACCCUGUUUUACCUAGGAGGCAACUGUGGCAUGGAGAAACAAAGCGAACUUGCCCAAGUUUUGCAAGCCAGGAGUCCCACGCAUGGCCAGGUUUGGAAGCCUGAUUGAGGGCUCGGCCCUUUCUGGUCACCUUUGUCCCCACUGUUGCCCCCUUUCUCUAGUGCUACACACUCUUGAUACCUAUCACUACCUCGGCUGACUCUACCAGUCUGAGGUGGGGUCCCGUGCCGGGAAAAGGGUACCAUUUUGGUUUCCCAGCAUUUAUCUUUUUUCUAUCCGGAGCCUGGAGGCAUGACGGUAGACCCAAGGCUCAGUGAAGGUGUCUCAUAAGCGAACUCAGGGGCACACUGGGAUGAGUGGGAAAGUGGCUUGUGAUACCAACGACAGCGUCAAAAGAGCAGGCUGGGUGGCCGCGCAUAGCCCGCGUGCAGCCAUUGAGAUGCAGUGCGCAUGCUCACUGCACAUGCGCCAGUCCAGCUGCGUUCCCAGAAACAUAGCGGUCGCUGUCUGUGUGGGCUUAAUUAGAAUGCUGCUUACAGAGACCUUAUCAGUAGCAAGUCAGAUGCUCCGUGGCUUCCUAAAUAAAAGUCAGUCGUGGUUUUUAAGAUUGGUUUAUCUGAUGAGUAUUUUGGAUUUUUCCAGUACAUACCAUUUGAAAGAAAUUAGCCAUUUCUGCAAAAGAAGAUAAAGGACAGAAUGAAGA
Meriones unguiculatus (Mongolian gerbil) is the source of this 3625-nucleotide RNA transcript. RefSeq lists it as uncharacterized. The record is from RefSeq and is a predicted model, not a curated record. The transcript is spliced from 4 exons. Lineage: Eukaryota; Metazoa; Chordata; Mammalia; Rodentia; Muridae.